RNAcentral lists this transfer RNA (90 nucleotides) under bacterium. RNAcentral describes it as "tRNA-Leu". It matches the Rfam family "tRNA". From Rfam's summary of the family: Transfer RNA (tRNA) molecules are approximately 80 nucleotides in length. The record is from RNAcentral.
GCCCGGGUGGCGGAACUGGAAGACGCGUUGGGCUUAAAACCCAAUGGCCUACAACAGGCCGUGAGGGUUCGACUCCCUCCCCGGGCACAA